CUACAUCUUGGUUAUCGGCGUCA
Molecule: non-coding RNA, 23 nt
Filed under: Arabidopsis thaliana (thale cress)
Lineage: Eukaryota; Viridiplantae; Streptophyta; Magnoliopsida; Brassicales; Brassicaceae
Source: RNAcentral